GGGGUUCAAGGUCAUCAACUGAAAAACUGCUGCAAGAUUUUAUCUAUUAUUGUAUAUUUGGCCAUUUCAUAACUCAUUAUACAUCUAUCUUAAUUUUAAAAUAUGAUUUUUCAGUAUGAUUAUUACUUUCAUUUAUUCGUGUAAUGUGUGUAGGGAGGUUCAACACUCACACAUUAACAUAAGUCUCCUAUCUCUUAUUUUUUUUUAUGUGAGACUUCAUUUGUAC
This 226-nucleotide long non-coding RNA is filed under the name Vigna radiata. Its description in RNAcentral is "long non-coding RNA (VRAD_LNC013688)". The record is from RNAcentral. Lineage: Eukaryota; Viridiplantae; Streptophyta; Magnoliopsida; Fabales; Fabaceae.